This 222-nucleotide long non-coding RNA is filed under the name Elaeis guineensis (African oil palm). Its description in RNAcentral is "long non-coding RNA (EGUI_LNC023940)". Lineage: Eukaryota; Viridiplantae; Streptophyta; Magnoliopsida; Arecales; Arecaceae. The record is from RNAcentral.
GUUUUGCCAUUGCACCUUGGAUCUUAUCGAGGUGACCUCAGAUUUGGUCAAGAAUUUUUGCUGUUACAUCUCAAAUCUUAUCUAGGUGACCUCAGACCUGAUCAAAAAUUUUUGCCAUUGUACCUUGGAUCUUAUCGAGAUAACCUUAGAUCUUGUUGAGGUGACCUCGAACCUGAUCGAAGGUUUUUGCCAUUGCACUUUAGAUCUUAUCGAGGUGACCAA